This 6032-nucleotide long non-coding RNA is filed under the name Pogonomyrmex barbatus (red harvester ant). Its description in RNAcentral is "uncharacterized LOC105432236". The record is from RNAcentral. Lineage: Eukaryota; Metazoa; Arthropoda; Insecta; Hymenoptera; Formicidae.
ACCUAUAAAAGGCGGCCGGCCGGCCAGCCGCGGCGCAUUCGUAAACAAACCCUGGUUCAGUUCGGACGUUGCGAACACCCGAAGACCCCCUUCACCCUCCACCAUCAGUGUAACACACUUCGGCUUCUUACUUCGUCGAGACCGCCGGCACAGGAAAAUGUAGGCGAGCGGGCACCAGGUGCGGAGCGCGACAGUUUACCUGCACCCUACGGGGUCGGUGCUUGAACAAUCCGUACGCGACGAUAACAGCCGUGAUUAGAAUUUGAAAUUCCUUCACACUUUGAACAAAUAUGAGAAGAGAACCUCGAGAUAUAGUUUAGAGCAGACUCGUAGUGUUUGAUCCAAAACCGUCGGCACCAUCUGCCUCCUCUAAUACUGCACACUGAGGCGCAGGGAACAUUGGGAACAUUGGAAAAGCAAAAGUCAAAUAUGUAACGUAAGCCGCAUCAGCUAUAACAAAGACGAAAGAGGGGAGAAAGAGCGAAAAAGCGAGAGAAGAGGAUAGAGGGGGAGAGAGAGAGGAGCUCCGCUCGUUCGCGGUCAAGUCCGCGAAUGAGGGAGCAGGGCGGAUGUUAACGCGGAUUGUCUCGGCUCGAUCGAGCGUACCUUUUUGGGCGCCGUGAUAGUUAGUACACCAUCCGAGGAGAGGGUCGAGGUGACGUUGGCGAGGUCGUGAGAUGGGGGCAGGACGUAUCUGCGUACGAAGUGUCUGCUGAUGUAGCCGUGUUCGUCUUGCUUCUCCUCGUGCUUGGCCUCGACAAUAACGUGAUUGUCGACCGUUUUCACCGUAAUCUCGUCCGGUGAGAAUUGUUGCACAUCCAGUAUCACCUGCGGAUCAAAGAGCGCGGACCCGCGGGGAGGCCCCGGAAAUCAUUAGCUUGCUCAGGACUCUCUCUCUUCCGCCAUCGAGGACAGAAGUCUCGCAUUCUUCCGUGAGCGAUUGUAAACAGCCGCCAUGCAUCCAUAAAGCGAAAGUUAAGUAUCGAUCACUUCCGAACGAGCUUACUCCGGAAAUAAUGGUCGAUUUCUGAGCAAUAAAACCCAUCAUUUUUUUCUUGUAUCGCGCGAUUACGCGUCUUUACUUUGAUGUUUCUUAUUCUUGGCUACUUGAAUUUUCAUCGGAAGAGAAUGUCGAACAUCUAAAUUUUAAAUCAUACUCUGAAACAACAUACAUUAGGCGAGCUAUCUUACAAUAAUUUUGGCUUUAUCAUCUGGAGCAACGCUUCAUUCGAUUUCAAAUUCUCAUUUCGCUAUCGCGUUUAAAAAGCCGCUGAUCAAACCUGGUUGUUGGAGUUUCCGCAACGAGCGAGGGAAAUGACAAUUCGGCCAAUAUUCUAAAUCCUGUUUAUCAGAUAAGUGCGUCGUGAAACUACCGUUUUCCUUUUCGUCUAGAUUCUCUCAUAUGUAAUCUUUCGCAUUUUCUUUUAGAUUAUCGCGCACUAUGGUACAAAAAUAAACCGGGAAGAUGUAGUUGCCGGGCGCACCUACUUGUGUGAAAUUGUUCCUUUUUUUUUGGACGAACAAAAAAACGAGCAUACAUACAAGUAGGUGAUUCUUCUUUAUUUAUAGCGAGUGCGCGGUCGUGCAGGGAGCGAUUGGUUGCGAUCGCGGUGGUUAGUCCCUUUGUGGACGGCGUUUUUGAAGUAUAGGUACGAGGUACAGAUCACAAAAAACAAGAACAAAAAAAACCAAAAAAAAUAAAUAAAACAGAUAAAGAGAAGAUAAAUACAUUUUUGACAUAGAGUGAGGAAGCUCUAACAACCGAUGAUAGUAAGGCAGGCGUAUUUCCGAGUUUCUCCGGGUGAUCCUGCGUGAUCCUGGAACUCGGUUGCGAACGCGAGCGCGAAAAUAUUAGCGGAGGAUAAUUGGCUGUGCAUUUUGAAAAUAGUACCAAAAAAAAAAAACAAGAAAGAGAGAAGAACAAAAAAGUAGUUUGCGGAGCGGUUGCUCCGCAAACGGGUCGACUCGAGUGCUGCGCGCAGAGCGACAUAUAUUUGUACAAAUAAAGAGAUAAAAAAAGUUCCGUGUAAGAAGAAAAAAAGCAUAAAAGUCAUUUUGUACGAUUCUAUUGUUGUGGGUAUUCAAAAAGCAUUUAUUUUUGUAUAGAGAUUAUAAACGGGGAGGGUCGAGGCCCGCGGGUCUCGUGCGCGUGAGCGACGCACCCUUUGAGAUGGGGGUACGUCGAUGCUCAUUGGGACAACACGUACGCCGCACGCGAGUCUCGGUUCUUCCAUUACAACAAGACUGACUAAGCGCGACGCGAUAUAUCCACUCUUUCGGUUGCAUAUUUUAUUCCGUGGCUGCUGCGCGCGAUUUCUCGCGUGCGACUUUGAACGAAAAUCAUCAAGAACUUACGAAUGAAAUAGGUAGUCACCUCGGAUCUGCGGCAGGCAAACCGUGCGCGCGAUUGCGCGAGAAAAAAAUAUCGCAGAAAGAGAAGGAAGAACGGAAGUAAUAAAAAAGCACGUAUACACACACACACACACACACAUACACACACACACAUAUACACAUUAUACAAAAAAAUUAAAGAAGGGGGAGGUAAAACGAGAACUGUGGUAAAACUGUGAUUUCAUAGAGAUUCCGAAACCGGCGUGACUGACCGGAGAUCGUGCAGCACGAUCGUCCUCUUUUGAUACGCGUACCUUUCCUAGAGCAUUUCCGGCAAACGAGAAGGAUAACUGGUUCCUCUAGACUGCAGUCUUAACAUCGUUACACAACCAGAUUAUAAUUCAAAAUAGGGCGAUUAGAUGAACUACCACGUUGUAGGAGAAGCUAGAUUUUCUCGGCACAAAAGAGAUCAUUGUAAAAGGGGACAGAUAAUGCCGUAAAUGUUUCCCUGACGAACAUCUGAUUAUUCGAAUUUCUGCAGCGAACAGAAAAAAAAAAGAGAAAGAAAAGACAAAAAUAGUUUAUUCGUAAAAGAGAGAAAAAAAAGAAGGAAAAGUCGUCUCUCCAAUCCGAUUUACUCGCUCUCCCUCCUCCAGAGGGAGAGUGCAACAUUCCCCUACCCCCCCGAAAAUAAUUCCGAUCGAACACUCGUUUCACCAUCCCGACCCGUUGAAGACCGAGCUGCCGCCCUUCCGGUCGACUUAGCAUCGCGUGCGCGACCGUGUGAUUAUGAGAGCGUGAUUAAAACGUGUAAUGCAUAAUGUGUGCAUAAUGACGAGAAAGACAGCGGCAGCUGCAGCAGAUGCAGCCAUCAGUUUUUCGGGCCUUCUGGUGUUCCGGAUUUUUUCCGUUCGUUGCUUUUAGUCACCCUUAGCGAGCGUUGAAUUUCUCCCUUGCGUUUGAUUUCAUCCCCUAUUCGUUAGGGGUUUUAUUUUCUUUUCAUUUUAAUGGCCGCGCGCGGCUGAUUCGCCUCCUUUGGAAGUAACGUUCGAGUCCACCGUAGAUAAAAACCUACCCUUGAAUUUUUAGCCGUUAAUCCUCUUUUCUCCUCCCUUCCCUCCCCUUCCUUUCUCCUUCCCUUUCUCCCCCUCCUUCCUUUCCUUUUUAUUUUUUUUUCUUACGAAUGCGCCCUUUCCUUUCCUCUCACAUCACACCCGUCAUCUUCCGUCAUUUAUCUCCCGCGACUUUUCUAGAUUUCGAAAUCUAAUUACGAUUCGUCGCUACUCGUUUUUUCGCUAGAAGAUAUCGUAAAAGAAAGUAUCUUCCCCUAUAAUACACUUAUUACAUAUUGUACUUUUUUUCGUAGGAUAUAUAUCACUCGAGGCUCUUUGUACUUGACACAAAAUUCGUUUUGCGUCUAAUACAAAUCGCGCUCAAGCUACUAAUACCAAAAUAAGGAGCAAAGAACCGUUAAAGAAUUUAAGUCCUGUCUUAAUUUAAGUUAUACCACAUAAUUAGUCACAUUCCGUUCGCUGUUGCAUCAUCGAACCUAUUCGAAGAGAUAAAUAUAAUUGUAACGCAUUGCGAGGCAGAUCGAUUUGAUGAAUUCAUGAAUUUAGAACUGUCAGAAGAAUUGUGUUACAUUAACAAAAAAUUAAUAUAAUUUUAUAAAAAUUAAUAUAAUUUGAUGAACCGAAAACAUUUAUAAAUUUAUGAGUGUGGCUGGAAGCUUUUAGGUAAACUUGCAUUUUUGUAUUUUGUAAUAGCUGCAAGAUAAGAAAGAGAGAGCAUUAUUUUAGACCAUAAAUAAGUUGUUGUUGCAUAACCGGUUAUAUUCCAUUGGCUGUUAUAUCAUCGAGCCACCAAAGAUAAAUAAGAUAAAUUACAGCACAACUGACGGCUUUUGCGAAUUCAUGAUUUUAGACGCGUUGCGACACGCUUCCGUGGCGAGUAAUGACGUAUCUGCAGCUUGCGUACAACAUAAAUUUAAAACUGUUAGGCGACUCAGAUAACUAAUGUAAAUUAAUACGAUCGAUAUUACUGUCGAGUUACUAAGUUACUAGAUCUGAAGUGUGAUAGAUUGAACGAUCUUGAGGAUCGAGAAGUAGAACGAUCUCGCGGACGUUUUAUCCAGUGCGAAAUUAAAACGAAAGAUUCAACGACAUAUAUAUAACUAAAAGGGACAAUAGUGCCCUUUAUCCUCUAUUAAAAUCUUUUAGAGAGAGAGAGCUCUUUGCGCAAAUUAAAGCGAUCUAAAUUCAAUUCGCGGUACUCAAAUACAACAAUAUGACGGCAAGUCUUUCAAUCGAUUCUUGAUUCUCGACUUCGUCUAUAUGUUUUAGGAUAACUGCAGCGUAAGAUAAUCGGUAUAUUCCGCAGCGCGUGUUAAUCUUAAGCAUUAAUCGCGUGCAUAUCAUCCCGAAUCGCGAGCCUCGUGUGGACAUUUUUGGCCUGCAUUCCGAAAGCCGUAGCUUCCUGACCUGAUCGAAGAGUCGCGAUCGGCUAUCGGCUUUAAUUUUCCCGUAAUCCGAGAAAACCGAGAUUAGGACAGCCGCGAAUAGUUCCACGGCAUUACACACAACGACUAAAAAUACACGAAAAACCCGUCUGAAAAUAGCACGUUGCAUCAAUCACUCGCGUUCGGGACAUUCUGUGGUAAUUUUAACGCGCGUUGCUUCUCGUUUACGCUUUCUUGCCGCACUACGAAAAUCAAAUCGGACGAACGCACAUUCGUCAGGAAAGUACUAUCGAUAAUUUCUCUAUUUUGUGCCAUUUUGAGAUUAGGAGGCUUACCUCCGGAAGUUUUUUUAAGAGUACACGCGGUCAAAGAGGCUUGCAAUAAUUAUAAGCAAUUUAGCAUAACGACAUUCUCCUGAGACGAAAGUAGCGGUGAAAUUCGAAUUGCAAGGGAUCAAUUGAGAAGUGAAAUUUUAUCAUCGAUUUGAGUUAUCGAUUAUUAUUAUUGAGUCGAUUAUUAUACAAGUGAAACAUUGAAUUUUUUCUGAAUUUUUAUUAGAUCUUAAUAAUUUUCGGCCAAUUCCUAUCUUUCGCAGGAUCCUGGCUAAUUUUGUCCAGGAUCCUGCGAAAGAUGGAAUUGGACCGUUGUUGAGCAGUACUUCCGCCCUAAUAAUCUUAAGUAAGCUUUUAACACUUUCCCGACAAAAGCUCCAUUAUUAACAAUUUCAUCAAGAAAGAUUUGACUAAAAUCAAUUAAAUCUAACGUCUCGAAUUGAGAACACGAAAUAGGAUAUAUGAAUUAUAGUUGCAGAAUGAAAAAUUAAUUUCGACAAAAACAUACAAUAUUUUGAAUUCAAUAAAUCCGUCUGAUCGUAAGACUUGCACGCAACUAGGCUAAAACGAUGUGAUGAUUAAAUUCGCGUUUUAGACAGACAAUCGUGGAUAUGUCAUAAUGAUUAAAAUAAUGGCAAAUAAAGUACUGGCAAAAGCAAAAUCAGCAUCUUUAGAAUGCAAAGCUUGUAAUUUCAGACCAUUUUUCAUGUUUCACCAUGAAUACAAAGAUGAAUAGUUUGAUGAAAUAAUAAAGAUGACUUCACAGUGUAACGUCAUGUAACAUGGACGAGCAUUAUUGCGAAAAGAAACAUAUUUUCUGACUAUCCGAUCUAAAAGUAUAUACAAAACUAUCUCUCAUUACUAUUUUUCGAUACCAUAAACCGAGUAUAUCUCUAGCAAUAUCUAACAAA